This 449-nucleotide ribosomal RNA is filed under the name uncultured bacterium. Its description in RNAcentral is "partial 16S ribosomal RNA". It matches the Rfam family "Bacterial small subunit ribosomal RNA", at positions 29 to 523 of the family's 1533-position model. The record is from RNAcentral.
AACGAACGCUGGCGGCAUGCCUAACACAUGCAAGUCGAACGAAGCCUUCGGGCUUAGUGGCGCACGGGUGCGUAACGCGUGGGAAUCUGCCCUUUGGUUGGGAAUAACAGUUGGAAACGACUGCUAAUACCGGAUGAUGACGAAAGUCCAAAGAUUUAUCGCCAGAGGAUGAUCCCACGUAGGAUUGGUUAUUUGGUGUGUUAAAGGCGCACCAAGGCGACGAUCCUUGGCUGGUCUGAGAGGAUGAUAAGCCACACUGGGACGGAGACACGGCCAAGACUCCUACGGGAGGCAGCAGUGGGGAAUAUUGAACAAUGGGCGAAAGCCUGAUCCAGCAAUGCCGCGUGAGUGAUGAAGGCCCUAGGGUUGUAAAGCUCUUUUACCCGGGAUGAUAAUGACAGUACCGGGAGAAUAAGCCCCGGCUAACUCCGUGCCAGCAGCCGCCGUAA